This 199-nucleotide long non-coding RNA is filed under the name Malus domestica (apple). RNAcentral's name for it is "long non-coding RNA (MDOM_LNC009671)". The record is from RNAcentral. Lineage: Eukaryota; Viridiplantae; Streptophyta; Magnoliopsida; Rosales; Rosaceae.
UACUAAUUAAUAUGUUUUCUUUGUUUGUAAUGUAGGCUUGACACAAACUCAAUCUUCUACAAGUUCAAUGUCUCCUCCAAAAGCUUCGACAUCUCAAACUUGAAUAACUGAUCAAUGAAUUCUCUUUUUUGAAGUUUACUUCCAAUUUUCAUUUGGUUUGAAACUUUAAUUUCUAUUUGGAUUGUUAACUUCUAUUUGU